This 497-nucleotide ribosomal RNA is filed under the name uncultured bacterium. RNAcentral's name for it is "bacterial SSU rRNA". It matches the Rfam family "Bacterial small subunit ribosomal RNA", at positions 903 to 1397 of the family's 1533-position model. The record is from RNAcentral.
AAAUGAAUAGACGGGGGCCCGCACAAGCGGUGGAGCAUGUGGUUUAAUUCGAUGCAACGCGAAGAACCUUACCGGGUCUUGACAUCCAACGAAUCUGGUGGAAACACCGGAGUGCUCUUCGGAGAACGUUGAGACAGGUGGUGCAUGGUUGUCGUCAGCUCGUGUCGUGAGAUGUUGGGUUAAGUCCCGCAACGAGCGCAACCCCUGCUGUUAGUUGCUAACAGGUAAAGCUGAGCACUCUAGCAGGACUGCCGGUGACAAACCGGAGGAAGGUGGGGAUGACGUCAAAUCAUCAUGCCCUUUAUGAUCCGGGCUACACACGUGCUACAAUGGCCGGUACAGAGAGAAGCGAAGCCGCGAGGUGGAGCAAAUCUCAGAAAGCCGGUCACAGUUCGGAUUGCAGGCUGCAACUCGCCUGCAUGAAGGCGGAAUCGCUAGUAAUCGCGAAUCAGCACGUCGCGGUGAAUGCGUUCCCGGGCCUUGUACACACCGCCCGU